RNAcentral lists this ribosomal RNA (253 nucleotides) under Lachnospira eligens. RNAcentral's name for it is "partial 16S ribosomal RNA". It matches the Rfam family "Bacterial small subunit ribosomal RNA", at positions 524 to 776 of the family's 1533-position model. The record is from RNAcentral. Lineage: Bacteria; Bacillati; Bacillota; Clostridia; Lachnospirales; Lachnospiraceae.
UACGUAUGGAGCAAGCGUUAUCCGGAUUUACUGGGUGUAAAGGGAGUGUAGGUGGCCAUGCAAGUCAGAAGUGAAAAUCCGGGGCUCAACCCUGGAACUGCUUUUGAAACUGUGAGGCUAGAGUGCAGGAGGGGUGAGUGGAAUUCCUAGUGUAGCGGUGAAAUGCGUAGAUAUUAGGAGGAACACCAGUGGCGAAGGCGGCUCACUGGACUGUAACUGACACUGAGGCUCGAAAGCGUGGGGAGCAAACAGG